UACGUAGGGUGCAAGCGUUGUCCGGAUUUACUGGGCGUAAAGCGCGCGCAGGCGGCACAGUAAGUACGUCGUGAAAUAUCCCGGCUCAACCGGGAGGGUGCGAUGUAGACUGCUGAGCUUGAGGUCGGUAGAGGGGGGUGGAAUUGCUGGUGUAGCGGUGAAAUGCGUAGAGAUCAGCAGGAACACCCGUGGCGAAGGCGGCCCCCUGGGCCGUACC
RNAcentral lists this ribosomal RNA (217 nucleotides) under uncultured prokaryote. RNAcentral's name for it is "partial 16S ribosomal RNA". It matches the Rfam family "Bacterial small subunit ribosomal RNA", at positions 524 to 740 of the family's 1533-position model. The record is from RNAcentral.